UAGUUAUGUUCUUGAAACUUAAAAAAUUUGGCGGUAUUUUAGUCUAUUCAGAGGAACCUGUUCUAUAAUCGAUAAUCCACGAUGGACCUUACUUAAAUUUGUAAUCAGUUUAUAUACCGUCGUUAUUAGAAUAUUUUAUAAGAAUGUUAAUUUUCAGGAUUUUUUAAAAGAAAAUAUAUCAGAUCAAGGUGUAGCUUAUAUUUAAGUAGAAAUGGGUUACAAUAAAAUUAUUUAUACGAAUUUAAAUAUGAAAUAUUUAUUGAAGGUGGAUUUGAUAGUAAAAUUAUAAAGAUUAAUAAUUUGAUUUUAGCUCUAAAAUAUGUACACAUCGCCCGUCACUCUUAUUAUUAAGGUAAGAUAAGUCGUAACAUAGUAGAUGUACUGGAAAGUGUACCUAGAAUGCAAUUUAAAGCUUAUACAGUAAAGCAUUUCAUUUACAUUGAAAAGAUUUUUGUGCAAAUCAAUAUGAAUUGAUUAGAAUUUAUUUAUUAAUAUUUUUUUUAUUAAUUUAAAUUAUUAAAAAUAAUUAUAAAAAGGAUUUGUUUUAGUAUUUAAUAAAGAAAAAAUAAUUUUAAUUAUAGUGUAAUAGUAUUGUGAAAGAAAAUUGAAAUAACU
RNAcentral lists this ribosomal RNA (615 nucleotides) under Delia sanctijacobi. RNAcentral describes it as "partial small subunit ribosomal RNA". The stretch from base 403 to 474 matches the Rfam family "tRNA". Lineage: Eukaryota; Metazoa; Arthropoda; Insecta; Diptera; Anthomyiidae. The record is from RNAcentral.